ACCUCACUGACACUGUGGUUUGAGUGUUGGACUAUGACUCUGGAGUCCAGGGUUCGAUUCCCAGCUUGGUCA
Non-coding RNA from Phrynosoma platyrhinos (Desert horned lizard), 72 nucleotides. Lineage: Eukaryota; Metazoa; Chordata; Lepidosauria; Squamata; Phrynosomatidae. The record is from the annotation of a GenBank genome assembly.